Molecule: ribosomal RNA, 1340 nt
Filed under: uncultured bacterium
Lineage: Bacteria
Description: 16S ribosomal RNA
Rfam family: Bacterial small subunit ribosomal RNA
Source: RNAcentral
CGCUGGCGGCGCGCCUAACACAUGCAAGUCGAACGAGAGAUGAGGAGCUUGCUCUUCAAAUCGAGUGGCGAACGGGUGAGUAACGCGUGAGGAACCUGCCUCAAAGAGGGGGACAACAGUUGGAAACGACUGCUAAUACCGCAUAAGCCCACGGCUCGGCAUCGAGCAGAGGGAAAAGGAGCAAUCCGCUUUGAGAUGGCCUCGCGUCCGAUUAGCUAGUUGGUGAGGUAACGGCCCACCAAGGCGACGAUCGGUAGCCGGACUGAGAGGUUGAACGGCCACAUUGGGACUGAGACACGGCCCAGACUCCUACGGGAGGCAGCAGUGGGGAAUAUUGCACAAUGGGGGAAACCCUGAUGCAGCGACGCCGCGUGGAGGAAGAAGGUCUUCGGAUUGUAAACUCCUGUUGUUGAGGAAGAUAAUGACGGUACUCAACAAGGAAGUGACGGCUAACUACGUGCCAGCAGCCGCGGUAAAACGUAGGUCACAAGCGUUGUCCGGAAUUACUGGGUGUAAAGGGAGCGCAGGCGGGAGAACAAGUUGGAAGUGAAAUCCAUGGGCUCAACCCAUGAACUGCUUUCAAAACUGUUUUUCUUGAGUAGUGCAGAGGUAGGCGGAAUUCCCGGUGUAGCGGUGGAAUGCGUAGAUAUCGGGAGGAACACCAGUGGCGAAGGCGGCCUACUGGGCACCAACUGACGCUGAGGCUCGAAAGUGUGGGUAGCAAACAGGAUUAGAUACCCUGGUAGUCCACACCGUAAACGAUGAUUACUAGGUGUUGGAGGAUUGACCCCUUCAGUGCCGCAGUUAACACAAUAAGUAAUCCACCUGGGGAGUACGACCGCAAGGUUGAAACUCAAAGGAAUUGACGGGGGCCCGCACAAGCAGUGGAGUAUGUGGUUUAAUUCGACGCAACGCGAAGAACCUUACCAAGUCUUGACAUCCCUUGACGAUGCUGGAAACAGUAUUUCUCUUCGGAGCAAGGAGACAGGUGGUGCAUGGUUGUCGUCAGCUCGUGUCGUGAGAUGUUGGGUUAAGUCCCGCAACGAGCGCAACCCUUAUGGUCAGUUACUACGCAAGAGGACUCUGGCCAGACUGCCGUUGACAAAACGGAGGAAGGUGGGGAUGACGUCAAAUCAUCAUGCCCUUUAUGACUUGGGCUACACACGUACUACAAUGGCGUUAAACAAAGAGAAGCAAGACCGCGAGGUGGAGCAAAACUCAGAAACAACGUCCCAGUUCGGACUGCAGGCUGCAACUCGCCUGCACGAAGUCGGAAUUGCUAGUAAUCGUGGAUCAGCAUGCCACGGUGAAUACGUUCCCGGGCCUUGUACACACCGCCC